AGAAUGGAUUCCAUUACACAGCAGGAACAUCAUAUGUGUAUGGAAGUAUGCUCAUGUCAUAUUUAAAACCAAUGCUAUUGUCAGGACUUUGUCUUGGAUUUGUUUUGCUUCUUCGAUGCAGAGAAUAUUUGGAACGAGCCAGGCGUGAAUGAGCUCGCAGAAGCUCCGCUGGGAACACCAGACAUGCCCCAGCACUCAUCAGGCAGACCGCGCCCACUCUCCGCCACAGCCGGCGGCAAUCAACACCUGACACACCUGGCAUUGAUGAAGGAUGCCAGUAUAAGAACGGUCGACGCUGACUCAUCGACGUCAGAACGUAAUAUCUACAACCCCGCUCGUGUCACCACUGCUGUUUCCCUCCUGGACCUGUUUUGCUCUCCCUGAUCCUUGACCCGUUUUGAAAUUUUGGACUUCUCUCUCCUGUUUUUGACCCCCGCUCGGAGCUUGGACUUCCCCUGGCUUCUUCCCCUUGGACUUGGACGCUGAACAACCAACACGCACCCCAACAAACCUCACGGUAUCUACAUAUGAUAAAUCUCACACAUAGUCUUCCAUACAAACGCAUAGUAGCAUACACAGUCCACGUAAUCAUCAAGUCUUCAAUAAACCUGUUGAUCUUGACAUUCCGUUGCUGUGCCGUCUCCUUCCCCAGUAUAAUCAUAACAAUAUUUCCCCAAAAUCCCCAAAGUUACAUACGUGACAUACACAUAGCAGCAUGCACGUAGGGGCAAGCGAUCAAAUGUUUGGAAGACAAAUGUAUGCCGAACAUCAAAAAUGUGCCAACUGCUUU
Nerophis ophidion (straightnose pipefish) is the source of this 790-nucleotide long non-coding RNA. RefSeq lists it as uncharacterized. Lineage: Eukaryota; Metazoa; Chordata; Actinopteri; Syngnathiformes; Syngnathidae. The record is from RefSeq and is a predicted model, not a curated record. The transcript has 3 exons.